UGCAGUCGAGGGGCAGCAUAAUGGAUAGCAAUAUCUAUGGUGGCGACCGGCGCACGGGUGCGUAACGCGUAUGCAACCUACCUUUAACAGGGGGAUAACACUGAGAAAUUGGUACUAAUACCCCAUAAUAUCAUAGAAGGCAUCUUUUAUGGUUGAAAAUUCCGAUGGUUAGAGAUGGGCAUGCGUUGUAUUAGCUAGUUGGUGGGGUAACGGCUCACCAAGGCGACGAUACAUAGGGGGACUGAGAGGUUAACCCCCCACACUGGUACUGAGACACGGACCAGACUCCUACGGGAGGCAGCAGUGAGGAAUAUUGGUCAAUGGACGCAAGUCUGAACCAGCCAUGCCGCGUGCAGGAUGACGGCUCUAUGAGUUGUAAACUGCUUUUGUACGAGGGUAAACGCAGAUACGUGUAUCUGUCUGAAAGUAUCGUACGAAUAAGGAUCGGCUAACUCCGUGCCAGCAGCCGCGGUAAUACGGAGGAUUCAAGCGUUAUCCGGAUUUAUUGGGUUUAAAGGGUGCGUAGGCGGUUUGAUAAGUUAGAGGUGAAAUUUCGGGGCUCAACCCUGAACGUGCCUCUAAUACUGUUGAGCUAGAGAGUAGUUGCGGUAGGCGGAAUGUAUGGUGUAGCGGUGAAAUGCUUGGAGAUCAUACAGAACACCGAUUGCGAA
Molecule: ribosomal RNA, 671 nt
Filed under: uncultured bacterium
Lineage: Bacteria
Description: bacterial SSU rRNA
Rfam family: Bacterial small subunit ribosomal RNA
Source: RNAcentral